Molecule: ribosomal RNA, 438 nt
Filed under: uncultured bacterium
Lineage: Bacteria
Description: bacterial SSU rRNA
Rfam family: Bacterial small subunit ribosomal RNA
Source: RNAcentral
UGGGGAAUAUUGCGCAAUGGACGAAAGUCUGACGCAGCGACGCCGCGUGUGGGAUGACGGUCUUCGGAUUGUAAACCACUGUCGGGAGGGACGAAUACGCCGCAAGGCGGGUGACGGUACCUCCAAAGGAAGCACCGGCUAACUCCGUGCCAGCAGCCGCGGUAAUACGGAGGGUGCGAGCGUUGUCCGGAAUCACUGGGCGUAAAGGGCGCGUAGGCGGCCUGAUAAGUAGGGGGUGAAAUCCUGCGGCUUAACCGCAGGGCUGCCUUCUAAACUGUCAGGCUUGAGCACAGUAGAGGCAGGUGGAAUUCCCGGUGUAGCGGUGGAAUGCGUAGAGAUCGGGAAGAACAUCAGUGGCGAAGGCGGCCUGCUGGGCUGUUGCUGACGCUGAGGCGCGACAGCGUGGGGAGCAAACAGGAUUAGAUACCCCCGUAGUCC